RNAcentral lists this non-coding RNA (99 nucleotides) under Desulfoscipio gibsoniae. RNAcentral describes it as "Desulfotomaculum gibsoniae TPP sequence". It matches the Rfam family "TPP riboswitch aptamer (THI element)". Rfam says of the family: Vitamin B(1) in its active form thiamin pyrophosphate (TPP) is an essential coenzyme that is synthesised by coupling of pyrimidine and thiazole moieties in bacteria. The previously detected thiamin-regulatory element, thi box was extended, resulting in a new, highly conserved RNA secondary structure, the THI element, which is widely distributed in eubacteria and also occurs in some archaea. The record is from RNAcentral. RNAcentral also lists the same sequence under 1 other name. Lineage: Bacteria; Bacillati; Bacillota; Clostridia; Eubacteriales; Desulfallaceae.
GGAAGUCAUUUGGGGUGCCGAAAAAGGCUGAGAGGCGAGUGCCAACCCAUUGAACCUGCUCUGGGUAAUACCAGCGAAGGGAAAUGCACUGAGUUAUUU